RNAcentral lists this ribosomal RNA (449 nucleotides) under endosymbiont of Alviniconcha sp. RNAcentral describes it as "bacterial SSU rRNA". It matches the Rfam family "Bacterial small subunit ribosomal RNA", at positions 112 to 581 of the family's 1533-position model. The record is from RNAcentral.
AAUAUAUAGGCAAUGUGCCCCCUAGAGAGGGAUAGCCAUUGGAAACGAUGAUUAAUACCUCAUACUCCUUCUUAUCAUAAGAUAAGUUGGGAAAGUUUUUUCGCUAGGGGAUCGGCCUAUAUCGCAUCAGUUAGUUGGUGGGGUAACGGCCUACCAAGACAAUGACGCGUAGCGGGUUUGAGAGGAUGAUCCGCCACACUGGUACUGAGACACGGACCAGACUCCUACGGGAGGCAGCAGUGAGGAAUAUUGCACAAUGGGGGCAACCCUGAUGCAGCAACGCCGCGUGGAGGAUGACGCAUUUCGGUGUGUAAACUCCUUUUAUAUGCCAAGAAAAUGACGGUAGCAUAUGAAUAAGCACCGGCUAACUCCGUGCCAGCAGCCGCGGUAAUACGGAGGGUGCGAGCGUUAUUCGGAAUCACUGGGCGUAAAGGACGCGUAGGCGGGUU